GAUUCCGGCCGGCAAGUAUCAGGAUAGCAAACUCCGCCAGGUCGGGAACGAAGCAACGGUAGCUAUAUUUGGUAUUGUGUUUGUCGGAGUCGCC
RNAcentral lists this signal recognition particle RNA (94 nucleotides) under Oligoflexia bacterium. Its description in RNAcentral is "signal recognition particle sRNA small type". It matches the Rfam family "Bacterial small signal recognition particle RNA". From Rfam's summary of the family: The signal recognition particle (SRP) is a universally conserved ribonucleoprotein involved in the co-translational targeting of proteins to membranes. Archaeal SRP consists of a 7S RNA and homologues of the eukaryotic SRP19 and SRP54 proteins. In most bacteria, the SRP consists of a 4.5S RNA and the Ffh protein (a homologue of the eukaryotic SRP54 protein). Lineage: Bacteria; Pseudomonadati; Bdellovibrionota; Oligoflexia. The record is from RNAcentral.